RNA transcript from Mus musculus (house mouse), 6349 nucleotides. It is a transcript of the gene named TAR RNA binding protein 1, with no coding region annotated. The record is from RefSeq and is marked validated. The transcript has 29 exons. Lineage: Eukaryota; Metazoa; Chordata; Mammalia; Rodentia; Muridae.
CCGGCGCACGCGCACAGGUCUACUCCCCGCGAAAUGGAGCGGGUGUUGGCGGACGCGCUUCUAACGCAGAGUCGGGAGCCCGGCGAGUUGCUGGGCGCGCUGUGCGGCGGGGAGGCGAGUGCGGAGCGGGCGGAGACCCUGCGCCUGGUGCUGCAGCGGCUGGAGGAGCGCGGCGCGGGCGCCGGCGCGCUGGCCAAGGCGGCACACGAGGUGGCCAGGGACCACCUGGUGCCCUUACUGCACGCGUCCCAGGGCGGAGGGCCUGCGAGGCCCCGCGUGCUCCGAGCGGCGAGUGCGGCGCUGCGCUCGUGCGCGCGCCUGGCAGGACCGGAGCUGGCAGUCACUCUGGCCGAAGAAGCGCUGCGCGAGCUGCCGAGCGCGCCAGCCGUGGAGCUGCUGGCCGCCGUGGCGCCGUGUUUACGCGCGCCGGAGGAUGCCCCGCUGCUGCGUCGCCUGGGGCGCGCGUCUGUGGAGCUGGCGCUGGCCGGGGACGCGCCGCCGGCCGUGGGAGCGCGCCUGCUGCCCGCGCUGGCACAGAGCGCAGAACCGGCUCUGCGUGCGGCGUGGGACGCGCUGAGCUCCGCGGGACCGGGAGCUGAGGGCAGCACUGGGCCAGAACUGCUGGUGCUGAGCGCACUGGCCGAGAAGCUGCUGACCAACCAUGAGCGCCACGGGGAUCUCGACGCCCGUCUCUGCGGCCGCUUCUGGAGAACCGUCCAGGCGGGGCUGGGCCGCGCGCAGGACGGGCUCACGCGAAAGCGCGCGCGCUACCUGCUGCAGAGGGCUGUACAGGUGUCUGCAGAGCUGGCGGUGGACUGCUCCUGCAGCCCCCAGGACACAAAAGGUCCGAGCCUAUUCUGGUGGUCUGAGAAGAGAAAAGAUGAGCUCCUAAAGUUUUGGGAAAACUAUAUCUUGAUCAUGGAAAUUUUGGAAGGAAACCAGAUACAUGUCAUAAAGCCAGCCUUACCAAAGCUAAACAGGCUGUUUGAAUGCGCAGUGUCAGAGGAGAAUGGCUGCUGGCUCUUCCAUCCCUCCUGGCACACGUGCAUCUACAAAAGAAUGUUUGAAAGCGAGAAUAAAAUUCUGGCCAAAGAAGGCGUGAUCCACUUCUUGGAGCUGUAUGACGUGAAAUCGCUUCCUUAUUCCCCGGAACUCUCAGAGUUUAUUACUGGCCCGCUGAUGGAUGCCCUCUCAGAGAGCUGUCUGUACAGCAGGUCCCCAGGGCAGCCGUUGGGAAGUGACUCUCCCCUGGGAUUAAAGCUGCAGAAGUUUCUAGUCACUUAUACUUCCCUUCUUCCAGAAGAAACAAAGAGUUGUUUCCUGUUAAAGCUCAUUCAGAGAAUGGCGGACAGACACUGGUGUGCAGUGCCGGUUUUGUUCCUGUCCAGGGCUUUGGCAAGCAUACCCAGCUGUAAGGCCCUGGGUGGAGAAGGUCUUCUUGCCCUCAGGGAUGUUCUCCAGCGCACCAUGAUCACACACCAGGUCCUCCUGAGAGGAGCAGCUCAGUGCUACCUUCUUCAGACAGCCAUGCGUCUGGUGGACGUGGAGAAAGUAUCUCUUUCUGACAUCUCAGCUUUUCUCUUGUCUCUGAGACAAGAGGAGUCCCUCGGACGUGGGACGGUGCUGUGGACAGAGCUCUGUGACUGGCUACGUGUCAAUGAAAGAUACUUUAAGCAAUCCUCACUUGGUGGCUCUGAUGGACAGGAGGCGUCAUUAAAUGCUUACGUGAAGAACCUAGUUCAGGAGUUCGUGAAGUCUCCUGGUUGGGAAAAAGAAAGCAGCUUCAUGCCAGACUGGCUGGACGCCAGGCUGACAGCGCUGAUGGUCCUGCUGGCUGUGGACGUGGAAGGACUGAAGACCAAGUUCAGGGAAAAGCAGAGGACUCAGAACGUGUUGAGGAUCUUCCUAGACCCCUUGCUGGAUGCCCUAGGGAAGCUCGGCACCAAUGCCUACAUGCCCUUGCUGAGGACUGACCGGUGCCUCCAGCUGCUGGUGAGGUUGCUGCAUUCUUGUGUGCCAAGACGUCCCGGUGCCCAGGAUGAUGAGGUAUCCACUGCCCUCCAGGGCUCCAUCAUGUCUGCUUCAGAGAGCGUGUCUCAGUUUGUGCUCAGGAGACUCACCAUGAACGAGCUGCAGGAUGUGGCGGAUCUGGACCGAUGUCAGCUCUACCUGACGGUGUUGUCUGAGCUCAUGAGUCUCCAGGUUAAGCUGGGCUGGAAAGCAGGCAACCCCAUCAGCCGGGUCCUUUCUCCUUUGAAAAACGCAUGUGUUCGCCAUCUGCAGGAGGCUGAGGACAGACAGGAGCCGACCUUGAGUCAUCAGGUACAGAGAGUGGUCAGCAUGGCCGCCCUGGCAGCUCUGUGUGAGGCUGUGGACCAGUACCCAGUGCUGCAGCCUGACUCCCCCAAUGCUGAGCCUGUGGACAGGUUCCUGUCAGCUCUUCCACUCAAUCACGUGCUGCAGAAGCCCCGAUCAGAGGAGCAGAGCAUCGGUGUGUGUCCCCUGGAGAAUGGCAGUGUCUUUGAAGAAUCAUUGUCUUCCAAAGGAUGGGGGAAAGUAGUUGCACAGUAUCUACAUGAUCAGUGGGUCUGCCUCUCCUUCCUGCUGAGAAAGCACCACCACCUCAUUCCAAGCACGGAAAGUGACGUGCUGGAGGGCUUUCUCCCUACUGCUGAGACACCUGUGCAGGCCCUGCAGGCAGCGCUGGACGUCCUCACCGUCCUCCCUGCUGGCCGCAUCUUGCCUGUGUUCCGCUGCAUGGAGGUGCUAGUUCCCAAGCUCCUGACCUCCGAGGAGACCCUCUGCAUAGAGUCCUUUGACGUGGCUUGGAAAAUUAUAUCUUCCUUGAGCAACACACAGCUGACGUUCUGGCCUAAUUUAAAGGCUUUUGUUCACUUUGUUUUCGACCAUGAGAUUCUUACCAUUGCUGCAAAACUCAAGGGCCAGGUGUACUUCAAAAUAAAAGAGAUUAUGUGCAAGAUGAUUGAAAUGUCCUCCAUAAAAUCAGGUGUCUUCAAUAUUCUGAUACGUCACUGCUGCCAGUCAUGGCUAGUGGCUGCUUCCGGCGUGUCCCAGGGGUCAUUCUCCAGUGCUAAGGAUUACAGUGAACUUGUCCUGGAGGCUUGCGUGUUUGGAACAGUGUUUAGGCGCGAUCAGAGACUUAUUCAGGAUGUCCAAACCUUCAUAGAAAACCUUGGACAAGGCUGUGCAGCAAACGUCAUCAUUGAGAAUGCUAAGAGAGAAGAUUAUUACGUGAGAAUCUGUGCCAUCAAAUUCUUGUGUCUGCUAGAUGGCUCCGAUGUGUCCCACAAGUUGUUCUUAGAAGCUCUUGCCAUCAAGCUCUUGGAUAAGGAUGAGUCAGCAUCCAGGUCCAGAACUCGAUACCAUGAGAACUCCCUCCAGCACCGGGUGAAGAACCGUGUGUGGCAGACUCUGCUUGUCCUCUUCCCUGCAUUUGAUCAGAACUUCUUACAUGGAAUUAUUGAUAAGGUCUUUCACGCUGGCUUCACCAACAAUCAAGCGUCCAUAAAAUAUUUUAUUGAGUGGCUUAUUAUAUUGAUUCUUCAUAAAUUCCCUGAGUUUCUUCCAAAGUUCUGGGCGUGUUUUUCUUACGGUGAAGAAAAAAUUAAGGCAAGCAUUUGUACAUUUUUAUCUGUUUUAUCACAUUUGGACAUCAUUGUUCAGAAUAUUCCAGAAAAGAAGCUGGUUCUGAAGCAAGCUCUCACCGUUGCCCUCCAGUGGUGUCUGAGUCACAAUUUCAGUGUUCGGCUCUAUGCUCUGGUAGCCCUCAAGAAGGCCUGGCAUCUGUGUAAAACACUGCAGUUUGAGGAGUGUGGCGCCUGGACCGCAGUCAUCGAGUGCAGCCUCAGCCAAGCAGAAAGCAUGCACGGAGCAGGACCAUAUUUUACACGCUCCCACGGCUCUCGGGUGUCACUGGAGAGGAGUGGAUCGCCUUGGAUAAAUUUGCCAACUUCACAGACAUCCCUUCCAAUGCAGGGUCCCAGUGGUACCUGUCUGGGACUGCACUCGGUGAGCUGAGUCCAGGAGACUGGUCCCAGCAGGACCAAGGUUCUACUUUGGGUGAAGCAGACAGCCAGUCAGAAUGGGCUGAUGUCCAGAAAAAAAUCAUCCCAUGGGGACAAAGCGCUCUGGAAUCAGACCUGGAGCUCGAGUUUCAGGAUCGGGCUGCCAAGCUCGGAAAGUCCAUUAGCAGACUGAUCGUUGUGGCCUCACUCAUCGACAAGCCGACCAACCUGGGAGGGCUGUGCAGGACCUGUGAGGUGUUCGGGGCUGCAGUACUUGUUGUCGGCAGCCUUCAGUGUGUCAGCGAUAGACAGUUCCAGCACCUCAGUGUGUCUGCAGAGCAGUGGCUUCCUCUGGUGGAGGUGAGACCAUCCCAGCUGAUGAAUUAUCUGCAGCAGAAAAAGGCAGAAGGCUACACUGUCAUUGGCGUGGAGCAGACAGCGCAAAGCUCAGAUCUGGCCCAGUACCGCUUCCCUGAGAAGUCGCUGCUGCUGUUGGGAAACGAGCGGGAAGGAAUCCCAGCCAACCUGAUCCAGCAGCUGGAUGUGUGUGUGGAGAUUCCUCAGCAGGGCAUCAUCCGCUCACUAAAUGUGCAUGUGAGCGGGGCUCUGCUGAUUUGGGAGUACACCAGACAGCAGCUGCUCGGGUGUGCGGAGCCACCAUCCUGAAGGCUGGGCCUCACCUGCGAUCUCUCAUGGUGCUAUGGUGACUUAUAACCUUCUGGACUAACGAAAUAUUCUGAGAUGUCCUGGGAUUUUCUUCGUGUCUCUAACCUUGCACCUCAAUGCCAAAACCUUUUCAUGUGCCUUAAAGUAUAUAUCAUUAUAUAUAUUGUCCCCUUUUUAGCUAACCUUUUUAAAUAUUUUAAGCAUUUAUGGGAUUUUUAAAAAGGAAUUUUUAAGUUAUGGUCUUCCUAGAAACCGGUAUUGUCAGACUGGCAGAACUAAAGUUGUUAUUUAUGGGCACCUGUGCCCUUCUGUUUUGAGAGGCUGCCUCCUCUCCCUGCUGCUAUGCACCUGUGUAUUCCUGCUGAGAGAGGGAGCACAUGUGACAAGACGUGAGUCAGCGCCAAUGAUGUUCUUUAUCCUCAGGUCCUGAGCUUCAUUUCCAAAGCCAAGGAUUGAGCCCUGGUUGUUUGAGCUAGGGUUCAAUGAGAUUUUCUUUACAUGGUUGUGUCCUCACAUCAUCACCCCUGUGCCGCUGAGCCACUCCCGUGAAUCCCUACUGAAAGCAAGAACAAAAUCCAUCAAUGCUUUCUGUUCAGAUAAGUGCAUUAUUCAAUGGUAAUCAUUAUCAUUGUCCAGCAAGGAACUUGCUAACCCUGGAAUCCUUUGAGUAAUACUUAAAUAUCUCCCGAAGUUUUGAUCUGCAACAGUGUUUCAAACAUAGACCACCACAUCUCCACACCCCCACUUCCUCCAGAUGCCACUCCUGUGGUCUGACAUAACCUACAUUAUCAGUCUGGCUUCUUUCAGGUAGCCGAGUGCAUUCCCAGCUCAUCCAGGUCUUUGCUUGUGUUGUUGGUAUUCCAUCCAUCAAUGGGAUAGAGUACUCCUCCUGCCAUAGGCAUCUGGUUUUAAAUGACUUGAGUGAUGCUGCAGGCUUUGCUUUCAGUUCAUUUGCUGAGGUAGCUAGGAGUGGGGCUUGUGGGUUUAAAGGUCAGCAUGUUUGACUGAAAACCUCUGUAGAGGGCUUUCCUAGUUUACAGUAUCACCAAGAGUGUCUUGUUCUGCAUCCCUGUCAUCACUUGGUAUUGUCAGACUUUAAUCGAAGCCAUUCUAACUGGUAUCUAGUGACACAGCAGUAUGGCAUUAAUUUCCAUUAUUCUAAUAUUUAAUGAUAAGGAGGCUCCUUUUGCCCACUUUUUAAAUGGGAUCAGUUAUCUUAUCAAGAAUCAUGAGGUAUUUUUUUGUUUUUUAAUUCUGGAUUCAAGUUCUUAAAGAAAUAUGUGACUUGUGAGUAUUAUCUCCAUAUUUGUGAGCGCAUCCUUAGGCAUUUUCUUAAUCAUCUUUGAAUAGACCCAGUUUUCCCUUCCCAAUCUACAUAGUUAUUUCUUCUUUGUCUUACUGAAGUAGGUAGCAACCCAGGUAUUGUCUGAUCACUGAGGACAUUUGAACAAAUGUUAACCCAUUGAUUAGUUAACUUCAUCCAACUUCAUUGUGUAGUUUUUGUAUUAAAGUGCUAACUGCCAGAAGCACGCAGAAUAACCUAUCUUAGUUUUUAUUUAUUUUAUGUGCAACUAUAUUUGCCUAAUAUGCAGCUCUUAUUCCAAAGGGGGAAAGGAAAAUAAACAAUGUAUUUUUAUAAUAAACUUUUUAUAUAAUGA